GAGAGACGUUGGUUAGACCUCCAGGAGAGCAGAUUUAAGAAAGGAAAAAAACUGCUGCACAACAGGAGCUGGGAAAGAGGAGUGAGAAAAAUCCCUGCAGACCCCAAGAAGGAGCAGUGAGAGAGCAGCUGUGGUAGAGUUCAGCUGCACAGCAGGGUAAAACCACCACACUAGGAAAGUCAAAACCCACCUGCACUUGUGAAUCUUGUGAGGGAAAUGACAGAAGGACUUCUACAUGUAUCAUCAGCAAAAGGAAGUUGAGGGUAAAAGUGAGUCCAUUACUGAAUGGAGCAGGAGAUCCAAAGACAAAGAAUAUGGAAAAGACUUGAAUGAUGAACAGACUGUACCUUCAGCAAGUUUGCAAAUCUUAUAAUACUGGGAAUGUCAAGGAUACAUUGCAUAUGUCCAUUGCUAUUCAGAGAGAUCUUGACAAGUUGGAGGAAUGUGCAGACAGGAACCUCAUGAAGUUCCUCAAAGGGAAAUAUUAAGUCCUGUACCUGGGGAGGAACAAAACCAGACACAAAUACACACUGAUGGACAACUGACCGAGAAGCAACUUUUCAGAGAAAGCCCAAGGAAUACUUGUUAACCAUGCCUAGUGGGCCUUAAGCUCAUCCCAAACAAAUAAGACAGUCUGCAGAAUGACAAAGACGUAAAAUACGCUUUAAGCUAUCUUCUGUUUCAAGUAAUAGAGGUGUUGGAAAUUACUUAUUAGAAAUGAUACAAGAAUUAGGAAAUAUCUUAAUAUUUAUUAAAAAAAAUAUUUCUGGAAUAUUUUGCUUCUUACAGAAACUGUCUCCUAUAAAAUAGUAAGGUAUUUGAGCACUAGUAGAUAUCAGAGGUAUAUACGCAGUAGGAUUCAAGACUCCCACCCAGUACUUUAUAACAAUUUAUUAUAUGAAAUGUUUAUAAAGUUAGUUUUUUUGUUUUUGUU
This is a long non-coding RNA of Cygnus olor (mute swan), 934 nucleotides long. RefSeq lists it as uncharacterized. The record is from RefSeq and is a predicted model, not a curated record. The transcript is spliced from 2 exons. NCBI's taxonomy places the organism in Eukaryota, Metazoa, Chordata, Aves, Anseriformes, Anatidae.